UACGUAGGGCGCGAGCGUUGUCCGGAUUUACUGGGCGUAAAGGGCUCGUAGGCGGUUCGUCGCGUCGGUCGUGGAAAUGCGCAGCUUAACUUGGCACGUGCGGCUGAGACGGGCAGGCUCGAGGGCGGUAGGGGCAAGCGGAAUUCCUGGUGUAGCGGUGAAAUGCGCAGAUAUCAGGAGGAACACCGAUGGCGAAGGCAGCUUGCUGGGCCGUUCCUGACGCUGAGGAGCGAAAGCGUGGGUCGCGAACAGG
Molecule: unclassified non-coding RNA, 253 nt
Filed under: uncultured Actinomycetes bacterium
Lineage: Bacteria; Bacillati; Actinomycetota; Actinomycetes
Description: uncultured actinobacterium contains 16S-23S intergenic spacer region
Rfam family: Bacterial small subunit ribosomal RNA
Source: RNAcentral